Molecule: ribosomal RNA, 395 nt
Filed under: uncultured bacterium
Lineage: Bacteria
Description: partial 16S ribosomal RNA
Rfam family: Bacterial small subunit ribosomal RNA
Source: RNAcentral
AUACGUAGGUGGCGAGCGUUACCCGGAUUUACUGGGUGUAAAGGGCGUGUAGGCGGGUUUGCAAGUCGGGUGUGAAAGAUUCGGGCUUAACCCGGAGAGGUCAUCCGAAACUGCAGAUCUUGAGGGCUGGAGAGGAUAGUGGAAUUCCUGGGGUGGCGGGAAAAUGCGUAGAGAUCAGGAGGAACACCAGUGGCGAAGGCGGCUAUCUGGACAGUAACUGACGCUGAGGCUCGAAAGCGUGGGGAGCAAACAGGAUUAGAUACCCUGGUAGUCCACGCUGUAAACGAUGAUUACUAGGUGUGGGGGGACUGACCCCUUCCGUGCCGCGGUUAACACAAUAAGUAAUCCACCUGGGGAGUACGGCCGCAAGGUUGAAACUCAAAUGAAUUGACGGG